AUGUGUGUAUCAAAAGACCAAAAAGGAAUGGGUUUUCGAGACAUACAUUGUUUCAAUCUGGCCUUGUUAGCCAAACAAGCGUGGCGCGUGCUUGAUAAUCCUGAUUCCCUAUGUGCCACCAUUUUGAGAGCUAAAUAUUUUCCGGAUGGAGAUUUAAUGAAUGCGAGUCUGAAAAAAGGAUCUUCUUUCACUUGGCAAAGCAUUAUGGCCGGAGUGGAUUCUCUCAAAAAAGAUUGUAUUUGGAGAGUUGGUAAUGGACAGAAUAUUGAUAUUUGGAGAGAUGCAUGGAUCCCGAAUGGGGCCAAUAGGAAAAUUAUCACUCCUAGAAGAGGGCAGCUUCUAACAAAAGUUACUGAUCUUAUAGAUCCAAUCAACAAUUGCUGGGAUGAAGAUUUGGUAAGACAAACGUUGUGGCCAAUUGAUGUCCAGAGGGUGCUUACGAUCCCCCUCCCCACGCAUAACAUGUCGGAUUUCAUGGCUUGGAGUUUUACAAGAAUGGAC
RNAcentral lists this ribosomal RNA (501 nucleotides) under Triticum aestivum (bread wheat). RNAcentral describes it as "partial small subunit ribosomal RNA". Lineage: Eukaryota; Viridiplantae; Streptophyta; Magnoliopsida; Poales; Poaceae. The record is from RNAcentral.